Molecule: non-coding RNA, 2198 nt
Organism: Macaca mulatta (Rhesus monkey)
Lineage: Eukaryota; Metazoa; Chordata; Mammalia; Primates; Cercopithecidae
Source: RefSeq, a predicted model, not a curated record
AUACUGCAUAUUCCCACUCAUAAGUGGGAGCUGAACAACAGGGUCAAAAGAUUGGUUCCAGCUGGAAAAAGUAAUUACCUACAGUGACGUAAAUAGUGAAUGCCAGAGGGUAGAAGACAAAGCGUUACCUUGGAUGGGCCCUGAGGGUUCAUUGACCUAUAAAGGAUAAGCGCCGGGAGAGAGCUAUGGAAAAUAGUAGAUUCUCAAAGUCAGCCCUUUCUAAUUGAUUUUCUCCUUUUCCUCUUUCCUUCCUCUCUUCUUUUCCUCCAGUCCUUUGUUCUUUCUUCCCCUUUUUCUUUCUAUUCCAACAAGAAAAAUUAGUUUAGGAUUUAUUAUAGGCCAAGAUUUACACUAGGUAUUUACACUAUAUUAACUAGAAUCCUUAGUCGAAAGGAGUUUAUAUAUAACUGGGUAAACAAAGAAUUAGACACCUUUAAGAGAGUGAGGAAAACACCGUGACAGAAAUAACACGGUGCUACAGAUGGAGGAGGAGCAGUGUUUAACCUUUAUUCGAGAGCUUGGGAAGGUUUUUAUGGAGAAGAGUUACUGAUAUUGAGGUCAAUGAGUUCCAAAAGCAAUAUAUGGCAACUGGGGGGUGGUAGAUAAAGAAGCCCAGAGGAAACUGAGAAAUCGGUUUCUUUUUCAAAGUUGUGAGUAGUUAAAUAGGACCAGAGAGAACAGUGGUGAAAGAUGCCCACAGAGGAGUUAGCAGAUAACGGUGACAAAUGGGUGCGUGUGCAAACUGAUGGCUCCAUUGGCAAAUUGACUAACUGGAAACUGAAGUCCCUGGAAUCCUCUUCUUUCUGUAUUUCUGGGUUGUGCUUGUCCUUUUGGGCCACUAAGUUGUGCUAGGUUGGGAGAUGGAAGUGAAGUAUCUGCAUCACACUCUGAAGGUCAUCAUUCGUGGCAGGCAGUGACAGGCAAUGAGACAGAAGGCUUUUCAUUUUUCUUUUCUGCUCUGCGUGCCCUGUUCUUUUCGACUAUUGACUCUGUAGCAAUCCCGGCUGAUCACCAGAAGCUUUGCCGUAAACCCAGAGGCAGGCGAUAGUUGCUGACACCCAACAAAUUCCCACAGACGACCAUGUCUGACCCUUCAGGUUCUACUCCAGCAUCUAGGCAGGUCCAGCUCUGAGCUUCCCCCAAGCUCCAACUCAUUCACAUUCUCCUGAGCUGGAACCACUCCGAUCUGGGGUAAGAAUGCUGGAUGAAAUUCUAGAUGAUCUGAAGCCUCACCACUGACUUGCUAUAAGAUUUGGGCCAAGCCAAUCUCACUGAGCUGCCAAUCAUCUGGAAAGAUGCGAGCACAGAGAGGCAAGAUUGCACAGUGGCCUCAUGCCGGACACCAGGCCCUGGACUCCAGAUUUUCCAGGAGCCUAGGGUGCUUUUCAUCUUCUCUCAUCCCUCACAGCAUCUUCUCUUACGGUGAUGAACUCAAGUUCACAGACUUCAUCUUUUGCAGCUGGUGCUCAAACAUUUACCAGCAAACCAGUGGCAUUCACCCAUUUUCCUCAAGGCAGAAGAGACACUAGUCUUGCUGGGAUACACUCAAGCAGAAUCUGGAAAGACUUCAGGUUGAGUAAAUGCUCAGAAAGUGCACUGGCCUCUGGCAGUUGGGGCUGAAUGAGGCAGGGAAGAGAACCUUGAGUCAGCCACACCUAGAAUGGCUCCUCUUUGAGGGCCUCAUCUGUUCAACAACAGGCACUGAGACUUCCAGUUCAAUGUUGAGCGGGAAUGAUGAGAGGAGGCAGCCUGGACAUUUUUGACUUUUACCUGAUCUUGGGGCUUCAACAUUGCAGCUAAGCAACAUUCCUUCCCGAUAAGAGAACAAGACCAUGAAGUGUAUCUGUUCAGUUUACGGAGGCUGUGCAUUAAGUGUCUUCAUGCCCUCUGCUUCACCUUUUGAUGUACAAGAGCCUAACUGAAAUGUUCCUUGAGGAGAGGCUGGGUCUGGCUGGAGACUGCACUGCAGAGGGUAACCCCUGUCUCCUGGACCACCUAGCGAUGCUCUAAAAUCUCAAGGAGACCCUGCUGGCAUUUACUUUAUGCAAGACUAGCUUCAGAAAGCCCACGCGGCAUGAUGCAUCUAGAGAGUGUUCGAAACAGGAAGAGUCUUCUCAAUGUGCCUGAAGACUGAGAACAACUGCGCACAUUUAUGUGUCCAGAACACUUAUAAAUACACGUUAGCAUAUGAUAAAAUA